Molecule: ribosomal RNA, 282 nt
Filed under: uncultured prokaryote
Description: partial 16S ribosomal RNA
Rfam family: Bacterial small subunit ribosomal RNA
Source: RNAcentral
UACGUAGGGGGCUAGCGUUAUCCGGAAUUACUGGGCGUAAAGGGUGCGUAGGCGGUUCGUUAAGUUAGGAGUGAAAGCCCCGGGCUCAACCUGGGAAUUGCUUCUAAAACUGGCGAGCUAGAGUAUGGUAGAGGGUGGUGGAAUUUCCUGUGUAGCGGUGAAAUGCGUAGAUAUAGGAAGGAACAUCAGUGGCGAAGGCGACCACCUGGACUGAUACUGACACUGAGGUGCGAAAGCGUGGGGAGCAAACAGGAUUAGAUACCCCCGUAGUCCCUGAGCGGG